Molecule: long non-coding RNA, 849 nt
Organism: Numida meleagris (helmeted guineafowl)
Lineage: Eukaryota; Metazoa; Chordata; Aves; Galliformes; Numididae
Exons: 3
Source: RefSeq, a predicted model, not a curated record
UUUUGUUAGAGAUCCCUGCAUAUCUGAGGCCUUUCAAAGUCAACCAGCCUGCAACUCUGCCACCUUAAGAUAGCUUCAGAAAACUGCAGGCUCCUGCUGGCUGGACUGGCCCUGAAGCCUCCUCCAUCCUCUAUCCCCAACCUCCAUCAUCCACCCUCCAUCCUUCAGCCUGCAUCCUCUGUCCUCUGGACUGUCCCAAAGCACAGAGCAGGAGCGCAUGUGUGCAGCCUCUGCUGUUGCACACCCUGCAGAUGACAGCCAGUUUUCCUGCAGAGCUAUCAGUGGUGGUUUGGCUGAUGAGUUUCCUCCUGAAGGGACCUGGUCCUUUUGGUGCCAGGACCAGAUGACACCAAUGGCUCUGCAGAUUUCUCCACCAUUUUCUUCCCUGUGGAUCCCAGCUGGCCUGAUGGAGGAGGCAUGCAUCAGCCAGAGAGCACGAGCUGCCACGAAGCUGAGCCUCUACGGACAGCAGUGCCCUCAGAGCUUAAAACUGUAAUUUAAGAACCAGUUGCGAGAGCUCUGUAGACCUUAAAUAUGAUCCUACAGAGCCAUAAUUAAGCAUCUGACUGAUCAGAAAAUAUUUAAUGCUUGCAACAGGUUUUCCUUCUCAGCCCCAUUAGAUAAAGCGAUACUGGUGGGAAAGUCCAGGGAGGCCGUUACCAGAGUUCAGCAGAAGGGCUAACGAGUCGGCAAACAAUGUUCCUUUUAGGCCCUGGGCUUCGGGAGUCCCAAAUUCCCAACAUUAGAGCUAACACAUUUUAAAUUACUUCCCAAGUCCCAGCACUGGACUAUGGUUACGUUUUGGAGAGCAGCCAAGAGGUAGCUUAGGGCUGGUAACGAAUGCGGGCU